CAAAACGUAGCUUAAACAAAGCAUCUGACUUACACUCAGAAGAUUCUCAAUAUUAUGAGACAUUUUGA
Molecule: transfer RNA, 68 nt
Filed under: Scarturus williamsi (William's jerboa)
Lineage: Eukaryota; Metazoa; Chordata; Mammalia; Rodentia; Dipodidae
Description: tRNA-Val
Rfam family: tRNA
About the family: Transfer RNA (tRNA) molecules are approximately 80 nucleotides in length. Their secondary structure includes four short double-helical elements and three loops (D, anti-codon, and T loops). Further hydrogen bonds mediate the characteristic L-shaped molecular structure. tRNAs have two regions of fundamental functional importance: the anti-codon, which is responsible for specific mRNA codon recognition, and the 3' end, to which the tRNAs corresponding amino acid is attached (by aminoacyl-tRNA synthetases). tRNAs cope with the degeneracy of the genetic code in two manners: having more than one tRNA (with a specific anti-codon) for a particular amino acid; and 'wobble' base-pairing, i.e. permitting non-standard base-pairing at the 3rd anti-codon position.
Source: RNAcentral